GUCUUUUAGAAAAUAAUUUAAAGUCUAGCCUGCCCACUGAAUAUAUUUGAAGGGCCGCAGUAUUUUGACUGUGCAAAGGUAGCAUAAUCAUUAGUCUUUUAAUUGAAGGCUUGUAUGAAUGGUUGGAUGAAAUAUUAACUGUCUCAAAUUAAUAAAAUAGAAUUUAAUUUUUAAGUUAAAAAGCUUAAAUUAAAUUAAAGGACGAGAAGACCCUAUAGAUCUUUAUAUUUUUAUUUUUAUUUUUUAUUUAGUUAAACAUAUAUUUUUAUUAAUAAAAAUAUUUUAUUGGGGUGAUAACUAAAUUUAUUUAACUUUAUUUAAUAUUUACAUUAAUUUAUGAAUAAUUGAUCCAUUAUUAAUGAUUAAAAGAUUAAGUUACCUUAGGGAUAACAGCGUAAUUUUUUUAGAGAGUUCAUAUCGAUAAAAGAGUUUGCGACCUCGAUGUUGAAUUAAAGAUUAAUUUAGGUGCAGUAGUUUAAAUGUUUGGUCUGUUCGACCAUUAAAUC
Molecule: ribosomal RNA, 506 nt
Filed under: Nevromus gloriosoi
Lineage: Eukaryota; Metazoa; Arthropoda; Insecta; Megaloptera; Corydalidae
Description: partial 16S ribosomal RNA
Rfam family: Bacterial large subunit ribosomal RNA
Source: RNAcentral